ACAGUCCGAAAGCUACGAUGCUCACCACGCACAAGAUAUGUCUUUGACGUGUCUUUCAUCGUGAGCGGGCUAAGGUCUGAGUAUUCCAGUCUCCCUCGAUCGACUCUUCCUGGGUUCGGUCCUAACGGACUGCGCGACGUACCAGAAAUGCAGUAGCCAGAGAAGUCCUACCCGCCAAACUGCGUGUCGGCCCUUCGGUCGGAGCUCCAUGACCUUUCUCCCCACGGCUGGGGUACUGAGAGAGUAGGGACGGUCAACUUUGAAAACGCGUCGCGGAGACUGGGUGGGCAUCUUUCCUCCAGGCACUGUGAACUCCACUCUAUCGCGGUAGACGUGCUCAUCAUGGGCGCGCAACGUGGUCGCCUUCUUCGUUCGCAAACAUGGCAGCGUAUUAGGACAUCUGGUCGAGAACUCGGGGGACCCCCCGGGGCAAGUAGCAGCCCAACUUCGGCUCGUAGUGAUCACCACUACCUUGCCCUACCACACCACUGACAACCAUGUCAGCCCGACCCAUCCGGUCGGUCGAUCUCGAUCACGUUGAUCCCGCUUUUCCCCGUACGAGGAGAUUGUUCGCCCGUCGUUUGGUGGGAUGUCCAUCCUUCAGUGCAAUUCGUGGCUCGUAGACUCUACAUCUACGAAACUCGAUUCAGACUACUCUUGGGACUGU
Molecule: RNase P RNA, 667 nt
Filed under: Paxillus involutus ATCC 200175
Lineage: Eukaryota; Fungi; Basidiomycota; Agaricomycetes; Boletales; Paxillaceae
Description: Nuclear RNase P
Rfam family: Nuclear RNase P
About the family: Ribonuclease P (RNase P) is a ubiquitous endoribonuclease, found in archaea, bacteria and eukarya as well as chloroplasts and mitochondria.
Source: Rfam by way of RNAcentral